CCAAACUUGCCUAGCUCUGGUUUUGUGUUGUAAACAUGAGUGUGUAUGUGUAUCUGCUUCCAAAACCAAAACGUUCCCAUCUCUUUUGCAACUCACAAGUAAUGAAUAUAAAUGGUUUUGUCAUUUCACCAACCUUCUGUUGUUGUUAUUGUUUUGUUUUUGAAGAAAUGAAGGAGGGAGAGAAAAAAGAAAGAAAGAAAAAAUUAAAAACUAUGUUCCCCAUCCUACAACUUCAGAUGUGAAUUUAAAACUUCAGUGUGAACAAAUCAGAAAAAAAAAAAUGAAGUGGGUUGUACUGUGAUGUACUAAUGGUUCUCAAAAGUCAGGAGCUGUGGGUUAGGAAGAAUGAGUUGGUCAGGAGUCCUGGCUUGGACCUGGAGGAUCUGUGUCACCUAACUGACAAGUUGUUGGUGGCUACUGGUACCUCUCCACGUGGGCAUCUGCACAAGCUGCUUCAUUGUCUCCAUAACAUGGCAGCUGGCUUCCUCCAGAGAAGUAAUCCUCAAGAGCAAGGUAGAAGUUUCAGCACCCUCCAUGAACUUCCCUUGGAAGUCAUGCAUCAUCAUUUUCACCAUAUUCUACUGGUCACAAACGCCAGCCCUGAAUCUGAAUGGGGGAUGGGGUAGCCAUAGUAUAAAGCUGGCCGCCUACUACCAUAAUAACAAAAAGAGGUAAAGGUGUGGCUCAGAAGAUAGCUGCUUAUCACUCUGAUGAUAAAGAGUGUUAAAAUAUGUAAUUCUUGUUUCAAAACUAUAUUAGUAUGGCCUGAGAAAUGUGUUAGACAAAUUUUGGCUGGCUGAGCACAGUGGCAUAUGCCUAAAUCCCAGUAACUCAGGAGGUUGAGGCAGGAGGAUCCCAAAUUCAAGGGCAACCAGAGCAAUUUAGUGAGACCCUUAGCAAUUUAGCAAGACCCUGUCUCAAAAUAAAAAAUAAAAAGGGUUGGGUAGGUAUAACUCAGUGGUAAAGCACCCUUCAUUCCUCAGUACUCACAAAAAAACAAAUGAUCAAACAAAAAAAGAAUGCAUUUGGUUGAACACUCAACUUAAAAUUGCUUAAACAGUAGUACUUAUUUCACUUAAGAGUCUUAGCUAGAGCUGGGGUUGUGGCUCAGUGGUAGGGCACUACCUAGCACUUGGGAAGCCCUGGGUUCAAUUUUAAAACAUUUUAUCAUCUCCAAAAGAUUCUUCAUAACCAUUUGCAGUAACUGCCCCUUCUUACUUCAAGUCAUCAGCUAACCCUUAUCUAUUUUCUG
RNAcentral lists this long non-coding RNA (1252 nucleotides) under Ictidomys tridecemlineatus (thirteen-lined ground squirrel). Its description in RNAcentral is "lncRNA (ENSSTOG00000034934.1)". The record is from RNAcentral. Lineage: Eukaryota; Metazoa; Chordata; Mammalia; Rodentia; Sciuridae.